This is a non-coding RNA of Arachis ipaensis, 433 nucleotides long. The record is from RefSeq and is a predicted model, not a curated record. Lineage: Eukaryota; Viridiplantae; Streptophyta; Magnoliopsida; Fabales; Fabaceae.
UAUUUUCUUCUUCUUAGAAUACAGAUACCAUCUAAGUUAGUGUUCUCUUUAACAGCUUAGGGCCAUCAUCAGCGUCUGCUGUGCCUGUUGCAGAGUACAUUCCAGCCCAGGAUGAAGCCAGGCUCCUUGUUAUGGAUAUUAAACUAGAUGUACUCUGCUAUGCUUCUAAGAAGCUCCCCUUGAGGCAUGCAGUUUCAAGAUUAAUCAUCCCUCGUUUAGCUGAUCAGUUAAAUGCAUUGCAGAAUUCAAUGUUGCCUAACCUUUUAGGACAACACCCUCAGAUAAAACCUUAUCACUUCACUCUUCCUCAUGUUCUGCAUCCAAUUACUGUUUUCUAUGAACUGAGUUUCGGGGAGACAGAAAUGAAGCAAGGUAUGCUUCUGUAAUCUGACAUGGAUAGGAUAAUUCUUUUAACAUUUACCUGUCUCUUUUA